GAUGAACGCUGGCGGCGUGCCUAAUACAUGCAAGUCGAGCGAACAGAUGAGGAGCUUGCUCCUCUGACGUUAGCGGCGGACGGGUGAGUAACACGUGGAUAACCUACCUAUAAGACUGGGAUAACUUCGGGAAACCGGAGCUAAUACCGGAUAAUAUAUUGAACCGCAUGGUUCAAUAGUGAAAGACGGUUUUGCUGUCACUUAUAGAUGGAUCCGCGCCGCAUUAGCUAGUUGGUAAGGUAACGGCUUACCAAGGCGACGAUGCGUAGCCGACCUGAGAGGGUGAUCGGCCACACUGGAACUGAGACACGGUCCAGACUCCUACGGGAGGCAGCAGUAGGGAAUCUUCCGCAAUGGGCGAAAGCUUGACGGAGCAACGCCGCGUGAGUGAUGAAGGUCUUCGGAUCGCAAAACUCUGUUAUUAGGGAAGAACAAAUGUGUAAGUAACUAUGCACGUCUUGACGGUACCUAAUCAGAAAGCCACGGCUAACUACGUG
Molecule: ribosomal RNA, 497 nt
Filed under: uncultured bacterium
Lineage: Bacteria
Description: partial 16S ribosomal RNA
Rfam family: Bacterial small subunit ribosomal RNA
Source: RNAcentral